RNAcentral lists this long non-coding RNA (942 nucleotides) under Anas platyrhynchos platyrhynchos (common mallard). Its description in RNAcentral is "lncRNA (ENSAPLG00000021854.1)". Lineage: Eukaryota; Metazoa; Chordata; Aves; Anseriformes; Anatidae. The record is from RNAcentral.
CACUGGGCGCUGCAGCACCCCGACUCCUUCCUGCUGGAGCCGGCGCUGGCGGAGGUGGUGGCGGAGCUGCGGCGAGCGGCGCUGCACGAGGGGCGCGAGGGGCACGCGCGGCUGCUGGACACCAGCCACGUGUAAGGGCGGGCACGCGCGUGUGCAAGGCCGGGGGGGUGAGGGGGGUGCGGGGGCAAAAGGCGGGGGGGGCUGCGCACGUGUGUGUGCAAGGAGGGUGGGGGGAGUGUGCAACGGGGCGUGCACGGGGCUGUGCGUGCAAGGAAAACGUGCGUGGGGCAUGGGUGUGCAAGGUGUGUGUGCAUGGGGCUGUGCACAUGUGUGCAAGCAGCGCAUGCACAUGCAAGCAAUGCAUGCAUGGAGCAUGUGUGUGCAAGCCUUGUGUGCAUGGGGCUGUGCACGUGUGCAAGCAGCGCAUGCACAUGCAAGCAAUGCAUGAAUGCUGCACAAGAGUGCAAGCAAUGUGUGCAUGGAGCAUGUGCGUGCAUGGGGGCACGUGUGUGCACAGAGAAUGGGUGUGCAAGCAGUGUGUGCACAGUGCAUGUGCGUGCAAGCAGUGUGUGCAUGGAGCAUGCAUGUGCAAGCAAUGCAUGCACAGCGCACGAAGGUGCAAGCACCGUGUGCAUGGUGCAUGUGCAUGCAUGGGGCACGUGCAUGCAAACAGUGCAUGUUGCAUGGGCAUGCAAGCAGUGCAUGCACAGUGCAUGUGUGUGCAUGGUGCACGAGGGUGCAUGCAAUGUGUGCAUGGUGCAUGGUGCAUGGUGCAUGGUGCAUGGUGCAUGGUGCACGGUGCACGUCGGUGCCCGGUGCACGUGCGUGUGACCCCCGCGUGCAGGCUGCUGCCUCCCCCCGCCCGGCCCCCUCUGGCCCCCCCCCGGCCCCCCCGGGACCCCCGGGGGCAGCCCCAAGCGCAAGCUGUCGCUGCUCUUCGAC